AUUACUUUCUCCAAAAUAUAUUUAUUAAGACCUUUCCCAUUUCCCUUAAUCUACUAGGUUAGCAUUGACUCAUCUUAAUUGUCUCUUUCCUCUUAUUUGGAAAUGUUAAUAACUCAAUUUAAGCCAUGUAAAGUGCAUCCAGAUACUACAGUGAUGGCUACCAUUAUAAAUCUGUGUAAUAAAUAAAUUAAUGCAAUGAGACAUAUUCUAAUGUAAGCUACAUAGAGGUGUCAGCCAGUGUAAUUGGAUUCACAGCAGUGUAAUAGAUCAGGAUCUGGACGAACAUUUUGGAACAUUGUAUUGUUUUAUUUUCUUGGUUUUUUCCACUGUGCCUUAAUGUUUUCCCUGAACACAUUGCCUGAUUCUCUCUCUCUCUCUCUUUUUUUUUUUUUGGCUGCCUCCCCAUUUUGCAUUUCCAUAGCAGGUUUUUAUUUCUUUACCCUGAGAUCUUUGAACAGUCCCUCAAGAGGCUUCACUGGCUGAUUUUUGUUCUUUCUUUUUUCAGAGUUUGUGCCAGGCACUUUGUUCAAAUCUGUCUUGGGAAUGAAAACACCCCAGACUUUUCUAGAAAUCCUAAUAAUGCUGCUUCUCUACAUAACAACAUCACUUCCUCUACAGAUGGAUAGAGCUAUAGAUAUAUGCACAUGCAUCUUCAUAGCUAUCCCUACCUUUUGGGCUUCUCAGAGGCUGACUGCAUCCUGAUCAUCAGGCUCCCUUCCUGAGCCCAUCAGCUGUGCAGCAGGGAAUGAAAACAAUGGCUUCUGUCUGCUGAACAAAUGCAAACUAAUUGACUGCACCUGAACUGGCCAGCAAAGGGAGGCUGUGCAGCUACCUGCCAGCUUGUAUCAUGAGCUCAGGUGGGUGGCCUGCAGGAGCAGAGAAGAGGGGCCAGGCAGGUGGCUGUCUGCAAUAUGUUUCCCCUGCUGUACAAAGAUUUGGGCCAUAGGAACUAAAAAAAAUGUGGCUUUCAUGUUCUGCUUUAACUGUUUUGGUAGGGGGUAGUUUAAAAACCUUAGCACUAGUCACCAGUUGCUCAUGUUUAUUCAUAUGGUACCAUCUGAAAUAGGCAGAUUUGGGCCAAUUUAGGAAGUGUAAGUUACAAUUGACCCUUGAAAGAACAAAUUAUCCACUUGAGACUCUUUAGAUAUGUGGCUAAUAUGAAGCUGUCAGUUUACAUUAAUUUUUACACAUCUCCUAGCUAAACUAGGGAUCCAAAUGCAAAAACCUAGUGUGAACUAUGGAUUUGGGAGUCCAUGGGGAACAUAAUCAAUUAAUCUGUGGCGGGUUAUUGAUGAUGAUCUUUUCCUUUU
This 1310-nucleotide long non-coding RNA is filed under the name Chrysemys picta bellii (western painted turtle). RNAcentral describes it as "lncRNA (ENSCPBG00000015312.1)". Lineage: Eukaryota; Metazoa; Chordata; Testudines; Emydidae. The record is from RNAcentral.